RNAcentral lists this long non-coding RNA (205 nucleotides) under Lathyrus oleraceus (garden pea). Its description in RNAcentral is "Pisum sativum (pea) long non-coding RNA (PSAT_LNC020210)". Lineage: Eukaryota; Viridiplantae; Streptophyta; Magnoliopsida; Fabales; Fabaceae. The record is from RNAcentral.
UAAAAUCUUCAAAAAAGUGGUCCAGGAAAAAAUCAGGGAUAAAAGAAAAAGAAAAAAAAUAAAGCAAAAAAGAGAUCGUGUAAAUCCUCAGCAAAAACAAAACAAGAUUAGGUGACCGCCAUAUCAAGAAUCAAUGGGUCACUGACAUCCUUGACAAAACCAAGAAAAGGUGACUGCCAUCUUGAAUCUUCAUCUUUAUCUUUAC